CGGAGGUGGAUGAAGAAGGACGUUUCUGCUUACAGGCAUAGUAGCAGCCCAGAAAGCAUCAUUUUACUGCUGGAGGCAAUAGCCAAGAAGAGUUGAAAGAGAACUUCUUCUGAUGAAGAAUAGCUCUGCCAAGCACUGAAUAUUAUCCAAUAAGAGACAAAAUGCUAAAAACAACUCUACGACCACCUUGUCUCCAACCUCAAUCCAACCGUGCAGGCCCCAGCAGAGUUGACCCAAAUCCUCACAUUAUUAAGAACUCCAAGAGUGACCCUGCAGGAGGCAAAAGCUAUUUGGCAAGGCUGCAAGGAACGGGAAAUGAUAGUAGCCAUGGAGAGCAGGAAAGGAAAGAGUCAGCCAGAGAAAAUCUCCAGAAGGAACCUUGGAGAGCCAAUGGGAAUGUCCUCCCUCACAAAAGCAGUGACAACAGGCCAGUGUCCAAAGAGAAAGGAGACUCUCCGUGGCCUGUUUCUGAUGGGAUGGAUUCUGGGAUUAACAACAAGGACGAUCAAAGUCAAGAAUGGAAAGUGGUGAAAGUGAAACGAGUUGUGCUUUCUCCCGAUGAGCCUAGGAAAGCAAAUAUCUCAAGAAGUGCAAGCUUGUCUGAAACAGAGCUGAAGGAAGCAAAAGAGAGGAGCCAAAGAAUUGUUGCUCAGUUGACCAAUCCACCAAGUUCCAAUUCCAAAGGAGUCCUGCUGUUUCACAGACGCAAGCAGCGAGUGAAUGCAUUCACCUUAGGAGCCCCAAAGCCAAUCAACCCAGAACGAGGAGUUGCGGAGAAAGGCCCCAAAGCUAUCACUCACCCGUGCGCUCUGAGCCAUGGGGAGGCAUCGCAUCUGAAGCAGACUCCAAAGCCAAACAAGGAGCUGAACGCUUCACUCUGCCUCAAUAGUUUUGGACGCUGGGGGCAAAAAGUCACCAUGGAAAAAUACGAGGAGGAACUGGGUGUGGAACAUCCCCUAGAUAACGCACAGGGCCUUCCGUGGAAUAAGGAAAAGAGCGAGACGAUUCUUUAUUCAACAAACCCAACAUCCUCUAAAGAUAUUCCAGAGGAAGAAUUUCAGCAGAUCCCGCUCAGUGUAUACCUUAAAGAGAAUACAGGGACAGCUUCAACCAACGGAAUACAUGAACCUCUCACUGAGUUUGGAAAAAUGCCUAUGGUUGAGCAAGGACCAAUUAUGGGCAAUACAGAAAAUAUCCCAGCUAAGACUGAGGAUGAGGCUACCCCCAAGAUUGAGAAGAAAGAUACCAUUCUUGAAAAAGAACUGUACCUUCUGCAUAUGGAUCGGGAAAAUAAUAUUCUCGAUAAAGAACCGUAUCUACCCGUAGUUAGUGAGAAAAACAACAAUAUCCCUGACAAAGAUCUGUAUGCUGCCGUCAUUGAUAGGGAGAAUAAUAUUGUCCUCAACACGACACCGAGCGAGCCAGUCAUAGACAGAAAGGAAAAUGGAGAGCUGCCCUACAUGGAACAAGAGGAAUUGGUCACUGACAAUGAGAACAUUUUUCCCACUGCUGACACCGAAAAAGCCACCAAUGUAUGUUCUGAUGAAACCAGCGCACAAAAUCAUAGGCAGUAUUGUGAAGUGCGCCUCACUUUGUCUAAGCCCCAACCAGUGAAGAACCGAACUGCAAGACCUUUUGGCACUCAGUCACUUGCUAAAAUCCUCUCACCAGCAGAGAAGAGUCCAGUGGCAGAGAUUCCUCCACCACCCACCUAUGCAGAAGCAUUUUCCAGCCCUCCUCCGGUGACUAGGGUCAGGUCACCACCAGCUUACUCAGCACUGUAUCCUGGUCAAGAACAGAAAAUCCUGGUUCCACCUGAAACUAGGUCCAAAGACAACAGCCCAGGACCUCAAUUCAGAGAGGAUAAAGCACCACCUCCAGAUAAAACAGGCAUUCUGGAGGAAUCUGCAGCCCGCAGAACACCUAAGAAGUCCAUGUUCACCUUUGUGGAGAAGCCAAAAAUGGGUCCCAAUCCAGAUCUUUUGAAUUUAGUACAGACAUCAGAUAAUAAAAAGAAGCAAGGAGGAGCCUUUCCUGAAGAUGAAUCAUUUGCAUUGGGUGCAGAUGCCUCUAACUUUCUAACUGAAGAUCGAUCAUUACAUGGACCUACUCAGUCCCUUGGAGAUCCUCCACCGGAGUGGUCUUCAUGUUUAAGAUCACCAAAAAUACAGCCUAGACCUAAAAUAAUCUCCAACCAAAGCCUAUCUGAGGCGAAAGGAAAGGGGGCAGAACUGUUUGCCAAGAGGCAAUCAAGAAUGCAGAAGUACGUCAUUGAAGCCCCAUCCCAUCCAGAUAUAGCAAGAUCACCUUCACCUACAAUGUCUCUUCCUCCAUCCUGGAAGUAUACUUCAGAAACUCAUCUCUCCCCCGUGGCAUUCCAACCUACACUCAAAAGUCCAUCAAGAUCUCCAAAAGGCCCCCCUGUAUCUUUCUACAACAGCAAUUUGACAGAAAGUGAGGUCUCCAAAAAGGAGUUGGAAAUCUCCAAGCAACAGCCUUACCAGCUUCGGUCACCCACGUUUGUUCGUUCCCCAGUCAAAGAGCCCAUGAGAUCUGUAGACCCUGAAAGGGGUUUUAUGAGACAGGCAUCUUCCUCUACUUCGCCCAAGACACCUUCUCCUCUGUUGUACCCACCUGUCCAGUCCAGCCCAAGCAGAACAUUGCCUGGCCUCUUUGCUCCCUUACCUGGAAACAUGUUUCCAUUACAGAAGUUCAGAGCAAAUGCUGAAAUAUCACCUGAAGCGUCUUUUGAUCAUUCUUCUAAAAUUUUGUCUCCAAGAGCUAAAGGAGUAUUCCAAGCUCCAAGACCAUCUUACUCCACCAAGAAUGCAGGGAUUGAGCCUCAGGAAAGAAAAACAUCCCUGCCUGCCUCCCCAACUUGGACUCCACAGCCGAUAAGUCGAUCAUCCAGCAGCAUAGAGGGCUGGAUGAGUCCAGCCCAAACUCCAGAAUCUGAGGAUGGGCUUGUCGAAGCCUUUCGAGCAGCCCAUGUUAUGACUCCACCUCCUCCCAUGUCUCCAUCCUGGAGCGAAAGGUCUCUGUCCCCAUUUCGACAGGAGAUUGACCAAAAGUCCAGCCGACAGAUGCAGGUGCUGUUGGCAAGAAAUAUCAUAAAUGCUGCCCGGAGGAAGAGCUCUUCUCCCAAACUUACCGGAGUAGAAAACUUCAGGCCCUUCACGCCACCUGUCACUUGCCCCAAUGUGUCAUCCACUGGUGGAAGCCCUAAGAACAGAAGUACUCAUACUCUGAGCCCAAUUCAGUCACCCAAACCAACAAGAAUGGAUGGCUACAGACGUGUGUCCCUCCCAGUCUCAGCUGCCCCAUCGCAGGCUAGUGCAUCAUCAAGCAACAGCCCCAGGUUGCUAGGCAUCAAAUCUCCAAGUCCACUACAGUCACCAAAAGCAGGGAGGAUGAAUGGAAACAAAUGCUUCACGCUGCCUACUAGAACUGGAGCGUCCCAGUUCUUUGUCUCAACAAACCAUAAUGGCCCAAGUAUAAUGGGUGCUCAUUCGGAAUCACACCAGCAUCCAGAGCCACUUCAAAAACCCACAAUCGUGGGCAGCCAUAAGGCCUUCACAUUGCCAGCAAACAACAGUGGGAUAUCAUAUAGCAGCCCAAAAAACCUGGAUGCUUCUUCUCCCACUCCCCAAAGUCCCAUGAUGACAACAUGGUCCCCAGUGAAGCGCGCCACUUCCAUGUCCCCCACCAACUCAGAGGCAUCCGUGGACUCUGACUGCUCUGGGGUCAAGUCACCUAGCAUCCGCAGCUUCAAUAUUUGUCCACGAGGCUGGAACGGCAGCCUGAGGCUGAAACGGGGUAGCCUCGCAUCAGAAGCAUCUUGUACCUCUUAAACAUGGGCCAAGAGACAUGAACCCAAAAAACAAAGGUUGUGAAAACUGUUGCCAAAAUACUUGUGCAGGUCCAUACAUGCUUAAUCCUGCCAACCUAGUUAAGUUUUAGGAGGAAGAUGUUCAUCUGCAAAGAUGUGUAACACCUUCUCUCCAAGUUUGCCACUUCUUGGGGACUUUGAAGAAGAGAAUUUAUGAGAAACAUUUCUCAUGCAAUGGAGAAGUGUGAUUCAGCUUCUAUUCCUGCAGGACAUCCAUUUCCACAGGAACUUUGUUAGCUUCCUCCUCCCUCUCUCUUGGAUGACAUGCUUGACUUUCCCAGGUUUUGCUUUCUCUUUCUCAGCUGGACUGGUGACACGAUGAUUUCUUUGCUUGGGGAAGUUUAAGACGCAUCUGACUGCUUGUGUCCCCUCUGAGAAAUAUCCGGCAGGAGGACACAGAGCCCUUGAGAGAAUCCUUGAUGACUCUUAGUGAGGGGACAGUAAGAGAGGAAAGCCAGCCUUAACUCCAUGUUCCACUUAAAACAAUUAAGUCCAUGUUUCACAUAAAACAAUUGCCAUUGAUUUAGCUCUACUUUGAUGGAGCUACUCUUCAGUUGGCUUCCACUCCAACGUCCUGAGGGAAGAAAAAGAAAACGGGGAUUAAAAAAAAAUGAGCCAGAAGCCCAUUCAGAAGUUGGUGGUGGUGCUUCAUCUGCACAGCGUACUUUUCCUCCAAACAUAUAGAUUGACUUUAUAUGAAUCAAAUGAAAUGAAACAAGGUUGUUUGAAAGCCUUUUUGUUCUCUGGACUAUUGCAGCUGAAUUACAAGAGGAUGAAGGACUGAUUCAAGCUACAAUCCAAGUACUCCCACAUCCGCAUUAGAAGAGACCACGUAGGAAUAUGAAACGUAGGAACUUCCAAGCUUUCUGGAAAUGCCACCAAAGCUAGCCAGCCUGGGACUGUGACAGUAAGGAUCCACAUGGGUUUCCAGUUAACAUGCAGCAAUGGAGGCCUGUUCCCAGAGUGUACCCAAAUGACCUCAGAACUCUUGCCAUGAUUUCAGGACUGAAUGCCCAGUGAGCAAUGGUUCUGGUACUGCCAGUCACCAGGAGAGAGGUCUUCUGAUCUCUUCUAUUGCUUUCUAGUUUACCAGAUAUCUGGGAGGCAAAGCUAUCCAAGAUGUCCCUCUGGAGAGGAGAUUGGUUAAUAAGCCCCAAAUAAUGCCUCUUCUGACAACUCUUUUUUCAGCACCUGGAGAAAGUUGCCUUCAGGUGCUUCUUGCAUAACGGUUGGAAACAACAGAUGGAGAAGUGAGCUCCACCUCUAAGUGGAGGAUCAGGAGCAAAGUUAGUUAUAUCCAACGGUAGGGAAGCUCAACAGAGCUGUUCCCUAACACAGCCACCUAUCAGAAACUUCAUUGGUCACUUGUAUUUUCACCCUGUAUCUCAGCCUCUAGACAUGCAGGACAGAACACAAAGGCGGAAGUAGUAUCCCUACUCAGGUGGGAGAAAUUUGCAUUCAGAAUAACAUUCCACACUAGGAAAGGAAAAGUGAGGAGCUGUUAUCUAAAACGCACAAAGGUGCCAAGAUAUACCCAAAGCCAGGCAGGUGGAUGAUUCUGUAUGGAUCAACUAGCUCAGGCCCCCAUCCUUGCAAUCUACUAAGAAGGACUGCCUAUCAGAGUAAAUAGGAGACAAACCCAAGAGGCUAAAUUCCCUUCCAUUUUUCCUCUUUGCUUUAUCCUCCAGUACUGCGACUCAUAGCAACAUCUACAAGGCAUAGUACUGUGUCUGGUAGCAGCAUCUAUCUAUUUACACCAUCUGUGUGGCCCCACGAAACUUCUGAUCUACCUCUGCUGAGCAGCAAAGAAAAACACACCUCCUCUCAUCAUUAUUGUUCGGCAUCUAGAAUGAAGGACUUCCUGAAGUACUCUGUGUGUAAAUAGCAGCUGUGACUUCUACUACGAUGACUCUGCAACAGAAUGCACCUAACUAUUUCCACACCGUUAAAUGGAUGGAUGCCGUUUGAUAGUAUGUUAUGAUACCUUUAGCCCUUUGCUUAUUUUCUAUUAUGGGACCAGCUCAUUUAUCAGACGUGCCUUAUUUCACAGAAAUAUAUCCCACAUGUUAAGGACACAUUGAAUAUUUGUAUGUUCCCUUCCCUGCUAACUUAUAGUGCAAUCCUAUACAUAUUGUCUCAGAAGCCCCCUCCUCCCCCAGUGUAGGUAUAUAAGAUUCCAUUCUGCAAUAGUCAUCCUAUCUCUAAAGGAAAUGCCAUACCUACUUGCACAUACCUGAACUCAGUUUCUGCUAUAAGAAACCGCUAGAAAUCCCUGGGGCAGGAUGAACAAACUUGUUUCUUGGUUUAGAUCUGUCUAUACAGCAAAGGUGAAGUUUGAGUUCGUGCCACAGUUUUUCCAGGGUUAUCUUCCACAGAACAAUGCAUCAAGGAUGGACGCAUGUUUAUCCUUAUUCUAACAUGUUGAUGGGCUAAAUUCCUCAGGAUCCCAGGAGAAAUGAGCAGUUGGAAAAAUGUAGUUAACCAAGGCUGCAAUUCUGUAUGGGUCAUCCUUAGUUAACAAAUUGCCUUGUUUAGCCACCAUUCAAAAGGAAUGACUGUGAUGAAAAAGUAACUUUAUGGUUGAUUGACCUUUGCAAAUCUGUAAAGCGAAAGAAAGCAAAAGUAAGAUUGUAAGCAUAGUCACAGUUCCACUUAUUGUCCACUUUGCCCAAUGGCCAAGUUGUUAGUCCCAGUUGUGGUAUGUAAACAAAGCCUACCUAUAUACGCUUUGCUGGGCGUAAGACCCUUUGAAAACCAAAAGACUUAGCGCAAGGAGACAAAUGUAAAAUUGUACUACAAAUAUUGAAAACAAUGUACUUAGGAGCCUUAGGGGGAAAUUCACAUCUUUUUUGACUUGUGAGUCAUCUUAUUUCUGAAUGUAUCACUGAGAACAUGUACGGCUUGCUGUAUCCCUUCACCUGAUACUGUUUGCAUCAGCACCAUGCCAUACACCUAUAUUAAAGCUCCAAAAUAAAUCAGACAUUAGCCCAUAUGGCCUGGUUAUCAAUCACACAUUAUUUUGGAAUUAAACUCUUUGUUAUGCUGAAAUACACUCACCUUUGUUGUGUCCAGUUGUGGUCUUUGUGGGUUGCCCACAUACUCAUAGAAACCACAUAGGAAAGGGAAGAAUGAAACUUCUUAAAUGGCAGUCAUUCAACUAAACAUCUGGAAGCCAGAAACUGUAAUAAGAUACGCAUAUGGACUGCAAAAAUCAGGAUGAAUUAGAAGUUUCUACAUACAUUUGCUGCCAUCUAGGCAUCAUCUGUCAGACACCCAACCCUAAGUAAGAUAGCCAAUCUGAUGUAGUGGUAAGGUACCAGCUUAGAAACUGAGAGACCAGGAGUUUUAGUCUUGCCUUAGACCAGCAGUCAGCAACCCACGGCUCUGGAGCCGCAUGUGGCUCUUUCAUCCUUCCGCUGUGGCUCCCUGUUGCUGGUUGGC
This is a non-coding RNA of Thamnophis sirtalis, 7330 nucleotides long. The record is from RefSeq and is a predicted model, not a curated record. Lineage: Eukaryota; Metazoa; Chordata; Lepidosauria; Squamata; Natricidae.